Molecule: non-coding RNA, 266 nt
Filed under: Aquilaria sinensis
Lineage: Eukaryota; Viridiplantae; Streptophyta; Magnoliopsida; Malvales; Thymelaeaceae
Source: RNAcentral
AUGGGGAUGGGGGCCCGUGCAGGUCUCGUGCUAUCUCUACCCUAAACCCGCCCUUGUUCCUGGGUAAUGACAUUGUUGUUGGGGUCUUUCUCCAGAGUUUCCCCCGUGCGGUUGAAAAAAAAGAAACUCCGAUGCCUCGUGCGUGGCCAUGCACGGCGUUGGAAAUAAAAUGAUAUCGCCCUGGAGAAGGAUGAGGGUGGUGCUGCAUGCAAUACAAGUGCACCAGUGGUCAUCGUAGCCCCUCCUCUCCACCACCCCCACCUUUU